UAAUAUAGUGGUGAGUAUUUCCACCUGUCACGUGGAAGGCCCGGGUUCGAUUCCCAG
This 57-nucleotide transfer RNA is filed under the name Schistosoma mansoni. It matches the Rfam family "tRNA", at positions 8 to 63 of the family's 71-position model. Rfam says of the family: Transfer RNA (tRNA) molecules are approximately 80 nucleotides in length. Their secondary structure includes four short double-helical elements and three loops (D, anti-codon, and T loops). The record is from Rfam by way of RNAcentral. Lineage: Eukaryota; Metazoa; Platyhelminthes; Trematoda; Strigeidida; Schistosomatidae.